CCUUCCGCGGCCACUGUACCACACAAUUCCUAAACUAAACUUGUCCUCUCUCUUCAGUUGCCGCGGAAGUUUGAGGGGACAAUGUCUCCACAGUUGUUCGAUGUCCCCAUCAUCUCCCCAUCUUAUACGUAUAAACCCGUCCUUCCCCCCAUCCUACAAUGUUACUGUCCCCAUGCACACCUUCCGCGGCCACUGUCUCUCUUAUCAUCCAAGCAGCGGAGACAAAGUGAGCCCACGACUGAGCGAACAUUGCCUGUUGUUGUUAAUUCAAUAAAGUCGCUCCACAUUUCCCAUUUUCUCCGAGAUAAUGAACUUACCCGACUAAUUGCUGCCAAGCGGGGAGGCAUUACGUAAAUAUAUACAUUAACACAGAGUCCCCUUAUUAUUAGCGGGGAAGAAGAAUGACGGUUCGUGGACAAAGAAAUUAUUACUUCCAAAGAUAUCAUUAUUGCGCAGUAACAACAAAACCAAAGGAAAUCCAACAGGUAGAAAAGAGAGAAAGAGAAAGUCGAGAAAGUGCGAACCACUUUCUCUUAAAGAGCAGAAAAGAAAGCAGCAAAGACAAUCCAAUCCCUUCUCGUUACGGGGAAAGUGCUUUGCUUUACUUUACUUUAAAAAUUAACGGAGGGUUCAAAAAUCCUGGUUUGAAAGGGUUCACGGACUUAUCUUCUUUUUCUGCUUAGCUUUCCUAUCUUUCUUUCUCCCUUCAACCAUAAACCAAACCAAAUACAACAGUGGCCGCGGAGGAAGCUGUGGGGACAUGUGGGGACGUUAACAUUAUAUGAUAAGAUGGACAGAUGAUGAGAACAUCAUGUGGGGACAUUAACCCUCUGCCCCUCCCCCCGCUUCCGUGGCCACUGUCGCACCAAGCCAAACCAAGCAAACGAUGGGAUCAUUACGGAAACCACAACAGAACGAUAUGUGCUGUGCGGGCGUGCCCACGUACGAGAUAAAAGUAGUCGCGGACUAUUUAUUUAUACGGGAACUGGCACCCCUCGCAUUGGCAUCGAAUCCGAUGAAAUCCAAUCCAUUUCAGGAAACUUUCCCCGAAAAAAAGAGGCGUGAUUCAUUAAAAUUCUGAACGAGUCAGGGGCUGCUAUUUUCUCCUCUGAGAUGGACUGACGCUGGAUGGACGUUCAGAUAAAUUACUUGCUUUGAGUCGCUGACUUUUACAGUGAAAUAAGAAGAAAUGAGCGGAGAGAAAGAGGAGGAAAUGCGAGUGCUUGUCGUAUUUUCGUAAAGAGUGGAGAGAGAGAGAGGGAGAGACGUAUGUAGGUAUUUCACUCCUGGAGGAAGAGAUCAGUGGUGGAGAUGAAGAGAACGAAAGGAGACUUUUCACUUUCACUUUCACCAAGGUUUUACUUUAAAUUUUAAGGUAUGCAAGUCAGUCAAGUCAAGAAUUGUAAGGAAUUUGGAGCUCGAAAAUGAACUAAUUGUCAAGUUUGAUUAGUAUAUGUGGA
Molecule: long non-coding RNA, 1460 nt
Organism: Folsomia candida
Lineage: Eukaryota; Metazoa; Arthropoda; Collembola; Entomobryomorpha; Isotomidae
Exons: 3
Source: RefSeq, a predicted model, not a curated record